Molecule: non-coding RNA, 88 nt
Organism: Bacillus cereus
Lineage: Bacteria; Bacillati; Bacillota; Bacilli; Caryophanales; Bacillaceae
Source: Rfam
AGAGAAGUACCCAAGAGGCUCAAGGGGCUCCCCUGCUAAGGGAGUAGGUCGCUAACGCGGCGCGAGGGUUCGAAUCCCUUCUUCUCUG